GAGGGGGAUACAAUCGGCAAACGAAUGCUAAUACCCCAUAUGCUUUUGAGUGAAAUGGAUUUAUCCGCCUAAAGAGAAGCUCGCGGCUGAUUAGCUUGUUGGUAAGGUAAGAGCUUACCAAGGCGACGAUCAGUAUCUGGUUUGAGAGGACGAUCAGACACACUGGAACUGAGACACGGUCCAGACUCCUACGGGAGGCAGCAGUGGGGAAUUUUCCGCAAUGGGCGAAAGCCUGACGGAGCAAUACCGCGUGAGGGAAGACUGCCUAUGGGUUGUAAACCUCUUUUUUCAGGGAGGAAUAAAAUGACGUGUACCUGAAGAAUAAGCAUCGGCUAACUCCGUGCCAGCAGCCGCGGUAAGACGGAGGAUGCAAGUGUUAUCCGGAAUCACUGGGCGUAAAGCGUCUGUAGGUGGUUUAAUAAGUCAACUGUUAAAUCUUGAGGCUCAACUUCAAAAUCGCAGUCGAAACUAUUAGACUAGAGUAUAGUAGAGGUAAAGGGAAUUUCCAGUGGAGCGGUGAAAUGCGUAGAUAUUGGAAAGAACACCGAUGGCGAAAGCACUUUACUGGGCUAUUACUAACACUCAGAGACGAAAGCUAGGGUAGC
RNAcentral lists this ribosomal RNA (605 nucleotides) under uncultured eukaryote. RNAcentral's name for it is "bacterial SSU rRNA". It matches the Rfam family "Bacterial small subunit ribosomal RNA", at positions 136 to 769 of the family's 1533-position model. The record is from RNAcentral.